RNAcentral lists this ribosomal RNA (466 nucleotides) under uncultured bacterium. RNAcentral describes it as "SSU rRNA". It matches the Rfam family "Bacterial small subunit ribosomal RNA", at positions 26 to 518 of the family's 1533-position model. The record is from RNAcentral.
AGGACUAACGCUGGCGGCGUGCCUAACACAUGCAAGUCGAACGGGGUAGCAAUACCCAGUGGCAGACGGGUGAGUAACACGUGGUCAACCUACCUCUGUGUGGGGGAUAACUAGCCGAAAGGUUAGCUAAUACCGCAUACGAUCGUUUUGAGGCAUCUCGAGACGAUGAAAGGAGCAAUCCGCACGGAGAGGGGACUGCGUCCCAUUAGUUAGUUGGUGGGGUAACGGCCUACCAAGACUCCGAUGGGUAGCUGGCUUGAGAGAGCGACCAGCCACACUGGAACUGAGAAACGGUCCAGACUCCUACGGGAGGCAGCAGUGAGGAAUUUUUCCGCAAUGGGCGAAAGCCUGACGGAGCGACGCCGCGUGUGGGAUGAAGGCCUUCGGGUCGUAAACCACUGUCGAAGGGGACGAUAAUGACGGUACCCUUGGAGGAAGCCCCGGCUAACUACGCGCCAGCAGCCGC